RNAcentral lists this ribosomal RNA (482 nucleotides) under uncultured bacterium. RNAcentral describes it as "partial 16S ribosomal RNA". It matches the Rfam family "Bacterial small subunit ribosomal RNA", at positions 30 to 507 of the family's 1533-position model. The record is from RNAcentral.
AUUGAACGCUGGCGGCAUGCCUUACACAUGCAAGUCGAACGGUAACAGGUCUUCGGAUGCUGACGAGUGGCGCACGGGUGAGUAAUACAUCGGAACGUGCCUAGUAGUGGGGGAUAACUACUCGAAAGAGUGGCUAAUACCGCAUGAGAUCUACGGAUGAAAGCAGGGGAUCGCAAGACCUUGUGCUACUAGAGCGGCCGAUGGCAGAUUAGGUAGUUGGUGGGAUAAAAGCUUACCAAGCCGACGAUCUGUAGCUGGUCUGAGAGGACGAUCAGCCACACUGGGACUGAGACACGGCCCAGACUCCUACGGGAGGCAGCAGUGGGGAAUUUUGGACAAUGGGCGCAAGCCUGAUCCAGCAAUGCCGCGUGCAGGAUGAAGGCCUUCGGGUUGUAAACUGCUUUUGUACGGAACGAAAAGCCCUGGGUUAAUACCCUGGGGUCAUGACGGUACCGUAAGAAUAAGCACCGGCUAACUACGUG